AUGGUGCCGAAGGCCUCCCUCCUCGUGGCCCUCAGCCUGGUUCUCGUCUUCACCGUGGCCAACGCGUGCGGCGAUAGCUGCCCGACGCCGACUCCGGCGACCCCGACACCGACGCCGUCCCACAGCAAGUGCCCCAAGAACGCACUGAAGCUCGCUGCGUGCGCCGACGUCCUAGGCCUCGUCAGCGCCGAGGUCGGCCAGCCGCCGGCCGAGCCGUGCUGCAGCAUCCUCGGCGGCCUCGCCGACCUCGAGGCCGCCGUCUGCCUCUGCACGGCCAUCAAGGCCAACGUGCUCGGCAUCAGCCUCGACAUCCCCCUCAAGCUCAGCCUGCUCGUCAACUACUGCGGCAAGAACCUCCCAAGUGGCUUCAUUUGCGCUUGA
This 381-nucleotide ribosomal RNA is filed under the name Triticum aestivum (bread wheat). RNAcentral describes it as "partial small subunit ribosomal RNA". Lineage: Eukaryota; Viridiplantae; Streptophyta; Magnoliopsida; Poales; Poaceae. The record is from RNAcentral.